UGUCUCAGUUCGGAUUGGAGGCUGAAACCCGCCUCCAUGAAGUUGGAUUCGCUAGUAAUCGCGCAUCAGCCAUGGCGCGGUGAAUACGUUCCCGGGCCUUGUACACACCGCCCGUCAAGCCAUGGAAGCUGGGGGUGCCUGAAGUUCGUGACCGGAAGGAGCGACCUAGGGCAAAACCGGUGACUGGGGCUAAGUCGUAACAAGGUAUC
RNAcentral lists this ribosomal RNA (209 nucleotides) under uncultured bacterium. Its description in RNAcentral is "partial 16S ribosomal RNA". It matches the Rfam family "Bacterial small subunit ribosomal RNA", at positions 1284 to 1500 of the family's 1533-position model. The record is from RNAcentral.